GGAAGUUCUCCACUGUGAAGCUGUGGGCUGAAGUGAAACAUCCCAGGGAGACAUGUUGGAAGCCCUCCCACAGGCUGUCCACCUAAGGAAAGCACUGUUCUGAGGUGCUGACUAUCUAGAUGAUGGUGUCCCAUACUUGCAAACGUGCUGGCAGCCAGGAACACCUCUCAGCCUGUUUGGUUCCUCUGCUGGCACUUCCCGUUCGGUUGAAGUCUCCAGGGUGAGGCUUCGUGCUCUCUCUCAGGCUCUUGGACUGGGAGCUUCUACAGUAGCUGUGAGCAGCACACACUCACUGAGCCCCAGAAGUGUGGCCAGUGGUGUGCAGGAGCCAGACUUUCAAUCUUGUUAAGUUUUAAUUUAUUCAAAUUUUUAUUCAGUCCUUAACUCUGCUUUUAGUCAUUUGAGUAUGUGAACCUUCUCUUCAGCCCUCCGUGUUGUGGUACCGUAAAUGUAAUUCAGCUCUGCACGAUGAAGGUCUGUUAUGUCGGCUGAGGUUAUUGCCAGUGUAAAACCACCACAUCCUGAAGACCUGUAUGAAGAGUUAAAAAACUCAAUUCGCAUAUGGAUAACUUGUUGAAAUGGCAACAUUUUAAAUAUAC
This 599-nucleotide long non-coding RNA is filed under the name Meriones unguiculatus (Mongolian gerbil). Its description in RNAcentral is "lncRNA (ENSMUGG00000021609.1)". Lineage: Eukaryota; Metazoa; Chordata; Mammalia; Rodentia; Muridae. The record is from RNAcentral.